AUGACCCAGGGCCCCGCCGGGCGCUCCUCGCCCCAGACAACCUGGGCAAGGCCCGGCCUGGGGCGCAGGGAGCGGCGGCAGGGAGUCCGGCGGGCGGGACAGGGGCGGGCCGCGCGUGUCCUUCGUCCACGCACCCGCCGCCCAUCUUCCGUCCACGCGCCCGCCCUCUGGCCACGCGCCCCCCACGUGUCGCUCGUCCUCGUCCUCGCGCCCGCCGCCCGUGCUCGUCCACGCGCCCAUCAUUCUUCCACGCGCCUGUCCUCUGUCCCCGCGCCCCCGCGUGUCCUUUGUCCCCGCGCUCGCCACGCGUCCUUCGUCCACGCGCCCAUCGUUCCUCUACGUGCCAGUCCUCCGUCCUCGCGCGCGCCCCGGGUCCUUGGUCCAGGCACGCGCGCGGGGAGCCGCGCCUCCCGCGUCCCAGAGACCCACGCGCCCUCCGGUGGCUCAGACAGGUACUGCGUCGGGUGCGUGGACGAAGGACACGCGCGGCCCGCCCCUGUCCCGCCCGCCGGACUCCCUGCCGCCGCUCCCUGCGCCCCAGGCCGGGCCUUGCCCAGGUUGUCUGGGGCGAGGAGCGCCCGGCGGGGCCCUGGGUCAUCCUGGUGGGGAGCGCGCCCGCACCCGCACCCGCACCCGCACCCGCACCCGCACCCGCCCCGGCGCCCCGGCAGCUGCCUGGUAACCGGAUUUUGGACGUUCCCGAGACGCGUGGCCCUCGCUUUUCCCCGAGUGCGUGCCCGCUUUGCACGCAGCCUUCUUAUCCCGGGGCCGAGUGAGCGCGGGCUCGCUCAGGCGGCUUUGGGGAGAAGCCGCGGUGCAUGCAGUGAGGCUGCCCUGCGGGAGAGCGCAUGGAGGGACGGCCGGACCAUCUGGGCCCUCCCUGGUGGUCGUGCUGGAGGGUUGGGCCCGUGUGGGGAGGGCUGCCAGCUCUGAGGCCCAGCACGGUCAGGGCACGUAUGUCCACAGCCCAAGCGGCCCGCUUCCUGGAUGCCUCGGAGCCGCGAGGAAGGCUCGGGGCUGAGGGCGGGCGACCGCGCACGCUCUCAAGGAAUGGGUGCUCGCGAGCAAUCCCCCUGCAGGAGCGCUUCCUCUGGGCCAGGCCGGCCUGCUGCCCGUGGCUUCCGUGCAGCUGCAUGCGCCGCCGCGGGAAACCUGGGGAAACUGAAGGUUCAAGGAGAGACCCUGGGCGUCCUUGCAGAUACCUUCCCCGAGGUGGGGGGAGGGGGGCAGAGGCGCGGCGGCGGGCGGGGCCUGAGCGGCUCAGUUGCUUGAGCUUGGGAUCCUGGGGGUCAGCUCAGGCCCUCAACUCAGGGUCCUGAGGUCAGGAUCUCCCGCGCUUGUCAGUCUCUCCCUCCCUCUCCCUCUGCCACCCGCCCUCCCUCAAGGGAAGAAAUCAUUCCUUGUGCAAAAGAAACUUGCCCAGGGAUGGGGUGGGAACAGCGCUGUCUUCCAAGACUGGGCAGGAAGAGUCCUGAGUCGUUUUCUGUUUCAUGGCCUCCAGGGACGAGGCCGGGGACCCCAGGGCUGUGAGCAAAGAGAGGGAGAGCAUGUGGGGGGCGCGGGUGGGGGCCGGUACAGGUCUGGAGACCUGUGCUGACGUGCACGUGACCACCCCUGUGUCCACCAGCCUGGCCCCAGACGUUGCACUAAGAACCUUUGGAUGUUGCUACACGUGAGCAUUGCAAGGGCUAUCCACUCUAGCCCGGUCGCCAUAACCCUCUGGCAUAUUCUGUGUGACCUGGGACGCGUCAUUCAGUGCUCCUGAGCCACAAGCCUCAGGCCCCUCCUCUGGACUCCGGGCAUGAGCUUUGGGUGAGGGCUGGGGGACCCGGCCUAUGCAUACGCUGCCCCCACUUGUGCGUCGGCCCGCCUAUAUACAGAAACAGAAGACGGCCAACAGUAGAGUGGCAGUGGGGUUACAAGCCACCAGAUGGAUAGGGCUUCGCUUAAGGGGUGGGGUCCUUAGCCUUAGGCCUGUGGAGUUUCAAAGCCGAGCUGUCCCAUAGGACUUCCUGAAAUUCUGUCUCUAGAGCACUUGAAAUGUGGCCAGUGGGAAUGAGAAACUGAAUCUUUCAGAUUAAUUCAACUGAAACUGCCACACGGGACGUGCACUAUCGUAUGGGGCAGCACAGUCAUAGAGGGCCCUUGGAUGUUCAUGGACAUUUUGUAAACCUUUGACAUGGGAUGUGUGUGUGUGUGUGUGUGUGUGUGUGUGCGCGCGCGCUGUGUAUUUCUGGGAAGUGAGUCCGUGGCUUUCAUCAGCUUCUGCUAACUACGGAAGAGGUCAGGACCUGCAGCUUUAUGGCUUUGGGAGAAAGGAAGCAAGGUGAGGGAGGUGAGUGUGGCCUCUGGUAACCACUGCGGUUGCCCCUUUCUGCGUUUGUCUGUGGCUGGCUUCUCGGGAUGAGCUCCUACGUCGUUGACUUCUUCCCAGCAGGCUAGGACCGCUAGCCCAAAGCGCGCUGGUGUGAAGCUCAGACUCUGAUGCAUCCUGCGGUUUUAUAUUUUUUAAGAUCUUCUUUAUUUGGCAGAGAGAGACAGAGCGCAGAAGCAGAGGGAGCAACAGAGGGAGAGUGAGAAGCAGGCUCCCACUGAGCAGGGGACCUGAUGCGGGGCUCUGUCCCACGACUCGGGGUUCACGGCCUGAGCCAAAGGAGAUGCUCAACCGCUGAGCCACCCAGGCGCCCCUCUCUCUGUGUCUCUCAUGAAUCAAUCAAUGCAAUCCUUUUUAGGAAAGGAAUAGAGUGUGACCCUUGAACUCGGGGGUGUGAGCAUGAGCCCCUCGUUCAGUGCAGAGAGGACUCAGAGGACAAAUAAGCUUUUUACAAAGGGAGCACCUUUUAAGUGCGCAGCGCCCAUUCUAGCCCUCCCACCACAGUCCAGCCACUAGCUUUCUGUCAUAUCUUAUGGACAUUUUAAAAACUUUCUUUGAAAUAGUUCAUCGCAUGGAUGUCUCGCACUUUAUGAAAACAACCGGCUCUUUUGGAUAGAGCCCUUGGUUCCACAUCUCCAAACCUCUAAGUCACGCUUGAUGGAAACGCCUGGGCACGCAGACCCACUUGCUGUAUGUUUUAGACCCGUGACAACGGAUGAGCUGGAACACUGGGCCGGGUCCCCUGAAAGGGGAGUCACUGGAGAACGGUCUAAAGAUAUGAACGGAGAAGAGACAGCUCAGAGAAUUCGGAAGAGCAAGUGCCCUGAGGUUUUAGGAGUCAAUACCUUAGAGCAGACGCCAUAUCUGAGGUGGAGUCUCAGUGUGAAUGAGGGCGAGGGGGUCCCCGGUUGCUACUCCUUCUGCCCUAGGACAGGAACAGCUUCCUCGCAGCUCUGCAGAAGCAGCUUCUGCACGCGGCUGUGGAUGUCCUGGGCCAGGAGGGCCAGGAGCUGCACGGACACCAAGGGACCUAGGACCCGUUCCAGGGUGCGCAUCUCGGGCCGAAGCCACCGACCGCUGGCAAAGCUCCAGGAGCCGCCUGACGGUUUCCUGGGGCCCAGCGGCACGAUCCACAGGGGCAGGUAGGAGGCCACCAGGCUGCGCCCUCCAGCUGGGCUGGGCUGGGCUGGGCUGGGCUGGGGGCAGCUCCUGGCGGCAGGUGCAGUAACUCCCGGGCUGUCACAGUCAGGAGGCCUUUGGCUCCUGGGAGCACGGGCCAGACGCCAGGGUCAGGUUCCGAGCCCUCGUGACCCCGAAAGCAGGCGCGACCGCCGCCGACCAAGGAGCCCGCGCCCGGGGCGGGCUGGCGGGCGCCAGACCUUGAAAAGCAGGUGCACGACCGCCGUGCCCCGGGCUCCCACUCACAGCCCGGAGGGGCCGCGGCCUGUGUGGCUUCGGGGAGUGGGGCUCCCGCCCCCUCGACCCGAUUCUGCGUGGCCUUGGGAGGCCCCAUCGCGGGCGGCUGUCUCCUCUCUGUCCGGGACCCACGCACCACUAGGCCCUGCUCCCACCAGGGAAGUGGCAGCAGCCCUAAAGUCUGGCGUCCGAACACCAAGGGCUCCAGCUGAGCUGCGGACCAACGUGUGCACCACUUGGCCUCAGUGACAGCCUCUGCCUGGCGCCGGCUCAGCCAGGAGGGAAAAAAUGGGACCCCAGCCGCGGGGCGGGGACUGGCCCAGCCCCGCCCCGCCGCCCCGCCCCGCCCGCCAGGGACCAAUUGGAAGACAAGAGGCGGGGCGGCGAGGCCAACCCCAGCCCCCACGAGCCCUCUGCUGGCGGCCCAGGGCGGAGAGGAGAGCACCGGGCUAGCCAGGUGGAAGCUCAGGUGUCCAAGGGAAGAAAGUAGGAAGGUAGCUCAAGGCCACUGGGACCCGCCAGACCAAGGUCAGAGGCAUCAGCCCAGGAGAGCUUCUGAAAGUGCCAACUGUCCAG
RNAcentral lists this long non-coding RNA (4366 nucleotides) under Canis lupus familiaris (dog). RNAcentral's name for it is "lncRNA (ENSCAFG00040023688.1)". The record is from RNAcentral. Lineage: Eukaryota; Metazoa; Chordata; Mammalia; Carnivora; Canidae.